GUCUUUUUGAGUUAUUUUUAAAGUCUGACCUGCCCACUGAGUUUUAAAUGGCCGCAGUAUUUCAAAGGUAGCAUAAUCAUUAGUCUUUUAAUUGAAGGCUGGUAUGAACGGUUGGACGAGGUAUAAGCUGUUUCAUAUAAAAUUAUAAUAGAAUUUUAUAUUUUAGUUAAAAAGCUAAAAUAUAAUUAAAAGACGAGAAGACCCUAUAAAUCUUUAUACUUUAGAUAAUUUAAAUUUUUUGGGUUUAUUUUAUUUUUAUUAUAUUGAGUAUUUUGUUGGGGUGAUAUUAAAAUUUAAUGAACUUUUAAUUGUGUUUAAAUCAUUAAUUUAUGAAUUGUUGAUCCAUUAAUAGUGAUUAUAAGAUUAAGUUACUUUAGGGAUAACAGCGUAAUUUUUUUGGAGAGUUCAUAUCGAUAAAAAAGUUUGCGACCUCGAUGUUGGAUUAAGAUAUAAUUUUAGGUGUAGUCGCUUAAAUGUUAAGUCUGUUCGACUUUUAAAUUCUU
RNAcentral lists this ribosomal RNA (503 nucleotides) under Dacus punctatifrons. RNAcentral's name for it is "partial 16S ribosomal RNA". The stretch from base 379 to 503 matches the Rfam family "Bacterial large subunit ribosomal RNA", at positions 2473 to 2597 of the family's 2925-position model. The record is from RNAcentral. Lineage: Eukaryota; Metazoa; Arthropoda; Insecta; Diptera; Tephritidae.